AAGUCGUAACAAGGUUUCCGUAGGUGAACCUGCGGAAGGAUCAUUACCUAGAGUUUGUAGACUUCGGUCUGCUACCUCUUACCCAUGUCUUUUGAGUACCUUCGUUUCCUCGGCGGGUCCGCCCGCCGAUUGGACAACAUUCAAACCCUUUGCAGUUGCAAUCAGCGUCUGAAAAAACAUAAUAGUUACAACUUUCAACAACGGAUCUCUUGGUUCUG
RNAcentral lists this unclassified non-coding RNA (218 nucleotides) under Epicoccum nigrum. Its description in RNAcentral is "partial internal transcribed spacer region". The stretch from base 1 to 46 matches the Rfam family "Eukaryotic small subunit ribosomal RNA", at positions 1786 to 1831 of the family's 1831-position model. RNAcentral also lists the same sequence under 4 other names. Lineage: Eukaryota; Fungi; Ascomycota; Dothideomycetes; Pleosporales; Didymellaceae. The record is from RNAcentral.